AANNCUCUAAUAGUUUACCAAAAACAUUGGCCUUGUAAACCAAAGAACGAAGGUUCACCCUUCUUAGAGUU
RNAcentral lists this transfer RNA (71 nucleotides) under Cacatua moluccensis (salmon-crested cockatoo). RNAcentral's name for it is "tRNA-Thr". It matches the Rfam family "tRNA". From Rfam's summary of the family: Transfer RNA (tRNA) molecules are approximately 80 nucleotides in length. Their secondary structure includes four short double-helical elements and three loops (D, anti-codon, and T loops). The record is from RNAcentral. Lineage: Eukaryota; Metazoa; Chordata; Aves; Psittaciformes; Cacatuidae.